Molecule: ribosomal RNA, 1429 nt
Filed under: metagenome
Description: bacterial LSU rRNA
Rfam family: Bacterial large subunit ribosomal RNA
Source: RNAcentral
UACUGGUGUAAGAGUGUAGGCCGUGACAUAGGCAAAUCCGUGUCACAUUAAGGCUGAGACUUGAUGCAUACCCGUUGUGGGGAAUUCAGUGAUCCUAUGCUGCCGAGAAAAGCCUCUAGUGAGUUCAUACACGGCCCGUACCCCAAACCGACACAGGUGAUCAGGUAGAGAAUACCAAGGCGAUCGAGAGAACUGUGGUUAAGGAACUCGGCAAAAUGCCCCCGUAACUUCGGGAGAAGGGGGACCAUGCCCGGUGAACAUCUUCACGGUGGGAGCUGGGUGUGGUCGCAGAGACCAGAGAGAAGCGACUGUUUACUAAAAACACAGGUCCGUGCGAAGACGUAAGUCGAUGUAUACGGACUGACGCCUGCCCGGUGCUGGAAGGUUAAGAGGACCGGUUAGCCGUAAGGCGAAGCUGAGAAUUUAAGCCCCAGUAAACGGCGGUGGUAACUAUAACCAUCCUAAGGUAGCGAAAUUCCUUGUCGGGUAAGUUCCGACCUGCACGAAUGGCGUAACGACUUCUCUGCUGUCUCGACCACAGACUCGGCGAAAUUGCACUACGAGUAAAGAUGCUCGUUACGCGCGGCAGGACGAAAAGACCCCGGGACCUUUACUAUAGCUUGGUAUUGGCGUUCGAUUCGGUUUGUGUAGGAUAGGUGGGAGACUGUGAAGCAUGCACGCCAGUGUGUGUGGAGUCGUUGUUGAAAUACCACUCUGAUCGUAUUGGACGUCUAACCUCGGCCCAUGAUCUGGGUUAGGGACAGUGCCUGGUGGGUAGUUUAACUGGGGCGGUUGCCUCCUAAAGAGUAACGGAGGCGCCCAAAGGUUCCCUCAGCCUGGAUGGCAAUCAGGUGUUGAGUGCAAGUGCACAAGGGAGCUUGACUGUGAGACUGACACGUCGAGCAGGGACGAAAGUCGGGACUAGUGAUCCGGCACCGGCAAGUGGAAGCGGUGUCGCUCAACGGAUAAAAGGUACCCCGGGGAUAACAGGCUGAUCUUCCCCAAGAGUCCAUAUCGACGGGAUGGUUUGGCACCUCGAUGUCGGCUCGUCGCAUCCUGGGGCUGGAGUAGGUCCCAAGGGUUGGGCUGUUCGCCCAUUAAAGCGGCACGCGAGCUGGGUUUAGAACGUCGUGAGACAGUUCGGUCUCUAUCCGCCGCGCGCGUAAGAAACUUGAGGAAGGCUGUCCCUAGUACGAGAGGACCGGGACGGACGAACCUCUGGUGUGCCAGUUGUUCCACCAGGAGCAUGGCUGGUUAGCUACGUUCGGAAGGGAUAACCGCUGAAAGCAUCUAAGCGGGAAGCCUGUUCCAAGAUGAGGUUUCUCACCACCUUGCGUGGUUAAGGCCCCCUACAGACCAUGGGGUUGAUAGGCCGGAACUGGAAGCGCAGCAAUGCGUGGAGGUGACCGGUACUAAUAGGCCGAGGGCC